Molecule: ribosomal RNA, 520 nt
Filed under: uncultured Entrophospora
Lineage: Eukaryota; Fungi; Glomeromycota; Glomeromycetes; Entrophosporales; Entrophosporaceae
Description: SSU rRNA
Rfam family: Eukaryotic small subunit ribosomal RNA
Source: RNAcentral
AGCAGCCGCGGUAAUUCCAGCUCCAAUAGCGUAUAUUAAAGUUGUUGCAGUUAAAAGCUCGUAGUUGAAUUUCGGGAUUGACGUGAUGGUCAUGCCUUAAGGGGUAUGAACUGUUGCUGUUGAUUUCUCACCUUCUGGAGAAACUUGAUGUCCUUUAUUGAGUGUCUUGCGGAUCCAGGACCUUUACCUUGAAAAAAUUAGAGUGUUUAAAGCAGGCAUUUUUGCUCGAAUACGUUAGCAUGGAAUAAUAGAAUAGGACGGCAUGGUUCUAUUUUGUUGGUUUCUAGGAUCACCGUAAUGAUUAAUAGGGAUAGUUGGGGGCAUUAGUAUUCAAUUGUCAGAGGUGAAAUUCUUGGAUUUAUUGAAGACUAACUACUGCGAAAGCAUUUGCCAAGGAUGUUUUCAUUAAUCAAGAACGAAAGUUAGGGGAUCGAAGACGAUCAGAUACCGUCGUAGUCUUAACCAUAAACUAUGCCGACUAGGGAUCGGAUGAUGUUAAUUUUUUAGUGACUCAUUCGGC